AACCAGAAAGCCACGGCUAACUACGUGCCAGCAGCCGCGGUAAUACGUAGGUGGCAAGCGUUGUCCGGAUUUAUUGGGCGUAAAGCGAGCGCAGGCGGUUUUUUAAGUCUGAUGUGAAAGCCUUCGGCUCAACCGAAGAAGUGCAUCGGAAACUGGGAAACUUGAGUGCAGAAGAGGACAGUGGAACUCCAUGUGUAGCGGUGAAAUGCGUAGAUAUAUGGAAGAACACCAGUGGCGAAGGCGGCUGUCUGGUCUGUAACUGACGCUGAGGCUCGAAAGUAUGGGUAGCAAACAGGAUUAGAUACCCUGGUAGUCCAUACCGUAAACGAUGAAUGCUAAGUGUUGGAGGGUUUCCGCCCUUCAGUGCUGCAGCUAACGCAUUAAGCAUUCCGCCUGGGGAGUACGGCCGCAAGGCUGAAACUCAAAGGAAUUGACGGGGGCCCGCACAAGCGGUGGAGCAUGUGGUUUAAUUCGAAGCUACGCGAAGAACCUUACCAGGUCUUGACAUACUAUGCAAAUCUAAGAGAUUAGACGUUCCCUUCGGGGACAUGGAUACAGGUGGUGCAUGGUUGUCGUCAGCUCGUGUCGUGAGAUGUUGGGUUAAGUCCCGCAACGAGCGCAACCCUUAUUAUCAGUUGCCAGCAUUAAGUUGGGCACUCUGGUGAGACUGCCGGUGACAAACCGGAGGAAGGUGGGGAUGACGUCAAAUCAUCAUGCCCCUUAUGACCUGGGCUACACACGUGCUACAAUGGAUGGUACAACGAGUUGCGAACUCGCGAGAGUAAGCUAAUCUCUUAAAGCCAUUCUCAGUUCGGAUUGUAGGCUGCAACUCGCCUACAUGAAGUCGGAAUCGCUAGUAAUCGCGGAUCAGCAUGCCGCGGUGAAUACGUUCCCGG
This 896-nucleotide ribosomal RNA is filed under the name Lactiplantibacillus plantarum. RNAcentral describes it as "bacterial SSU rRNA". It matches the Rfam family "Bacterial small subunit ribosomal RNA", at positions 481 to 1377 of the family's 1533-position model. Lineage: Bacteria; Bacillati; Bacillota; Bacilli; Lactobacillales; Lactobacillaceae. The record is from RNAcentral.